RNAcentral lists this ribosomal RNA (258 nucleotides) under uncultured soil bacterium. RNAcentral describes it as "partial 16S ribosomal RNA". It matches the Rfam family "Bacterial small subunit ribosomal RNA", at positions 26 to 285 of the family's 1533-position model. The record is from RNAcentral.
AGGAUGAACGCUGGCGGCGUGCUUAACACAUGCAAGUCGAACGAUGAACUGGAGCUUGCUCCGGGGAUUAGUGGCGAACGGGUGAGUAACACGUGAGUAACCUGCCCUUGACUCUGGGAUAAGCACUGGAAACGGUGUCUAAUACCGGAUAUGACCUUCAGCCGCAUGGCUAGGGGGUGAAAGAUUUUUUGGCAAGGAUGGACUCGCGGCCUAUCAGGUAGUUGGUGAGGUAAUGGCUCACCAAGCCGACGACGGGUA